GUGGGGAAUCUUCCGCAAUGGACGAAAGUCUGACGGAGCAACGCCGCGUGAGUGAAGAAGGUUUUCGGAUCGUAAAGCUCUUUCGUUAGGGACGAACGUGCUCUUUGUGAAUAAUGAGGAGUAAUGACGGUACCUAAAUAAGAAGCCACGGCUAACUACGUGCCAGCAGCCGCGGUAAUACGUAGGUGGCAAGCGUUGUCCGGAAUUAUUGGGCGUAAAGCGCGCGCAGGCGGGAUAUCAAGUCUGUCUUAAAAGUGCGAGGCUCAACCUCGUGAGGGGACAGAAACUGGUAUUCUUGAGUGUCGGAGAGGAAAGUGGAAUUCCAAGUGUAGCGGUGAAAUGCGUAGAUAUUAGGAGGAACACCAGUGGCGAAGGCGGCUUUCUGGACUGUAACUGACACUGAGGCUCGAAAGCCAGGGGAGCGAACGGGAUUAGAUACCCGGGUAGUCC
Molecule: ribosomal RNA, 450 nt
Filed under: uncultured bacterium
Lineage: Bacteria
Description: partial 16S ribosomal RNA
Rfam family: Bacterial small subunit ribosomal RNA
Source: RNAcentral